Molecule: ribosomal RNA, 432 nt
Filed under: uncultured bacterium
Lineage: Bacteria
Description: partial 16S ribosomal RNA
Rfam family: Bacterial small subunit ribosomal RNA
Source: RNAcentral
ACGCACGCUGGCUGCAUGCCUAACACCUGCCAGUCGCACGAGACCUUCGGGUCUAGUGGCGCCCGGGUGCGUAACGCGUGGGAACCUGCCCUUAGGUUCGGAAUAACUCCCCGAAAGGGGUGCUAAUACCGGAUAAUGUCUUCGGACCAAAGAUUUAUCGCCUUUGGAUGGGCCCGCGUUGGAUUAGCUAGUUGGUAGGGUAAAAGCCUACCAAGGCGACGAUCCAUAGCUGGUCUGAGAGGAUGAUCAGCCACACUGGGACUGAGACACGGCCCAGACUCCUACGGGAGGCAGCAGUGGGGAAUAUUGGACAAUGGGCGAAAGCCUGAUCCAGCAAUGCCGCGUGAGUGAUGAAGGCCUUAGGGUUGUAAAGCUCUUUUACCCGGGAUGAUAAUGACAGUACCGGGAGAAUAAGCUCCGGCUAACUCCGUG